CCUACGGGAGGCUGCAGUGGGGAAUAUUGGACAAUGGGCGAAAGCCUGAUCCAGCCAUGCCGCGUGUGUGAAGAAGGCCUUCGGGUUGUAAAGCACUUUCAGUGGGGAAGAAAGCCUUGGGGCUAAUACCCUCGAGGAAGGACAUCACCAACAGAAGAAGCACCGGCUAACUCCGUGCCAGCAGCCGCGGUAAUACGGAGGGUGCGAGCGUUAAUCGGAAUUACUGGGCGUAAAGCGCGCGUAGGCGGUCUGAUAAGCCGGUUGUGAAAGCCCCGGGCUCAACCUGGGAACGGCAUCCGGAACUGUCAGGCUAGAGUGCAGGAGAGGAAGGUAGAAUUCCCGGUGUAGCGGUGAAAUGCGUAGAGAUCGGGAGGAAUACCAGUGGCGAAGGCGGCCUUCUGGACUGACACUGACGCUGAGGUGCGAAAGCGUGGGUAGCAAACAGGAUUAGAUACCCCGGUAGUC
RNAcentral lists this ribosomal RNA (465 nucleotides) under Vreelandella stevensii. RNAcentral describes it as "partial 16S ribosomal RNA". It matches the Rfam family "Bacterial small subunit ribosomal RNA", at positions 338 to 795 of the family's 1533-position model. The record is from RNAcentral. Lineage: Bacteria; Pseudomonadati; Pseudomonadota; Gammaproteobacteria; Oceanospirillales; Halomonadaceae.